RNAcentral lists this ribosomal RNA (775 nucleotides) under uncultured Neocallimastigales. RNAcentral describes it as "partial large subunit ribosomal RNA". It matches the Rfam family "Eukaryotic large subunit ribosomal RNA", at positions 26 to 646 of the family's 3401-position model. The record is from RNAcentral. Lineage: Eukaryota; Fungi; Neocallimastigomycota; Neocallimastigomycetes; Neocallimastigales.
CGCAUCUGUGCAUGCAGCAUAUCAAUAAGCGGAGGAAAAGAAACUAACAAGGAUUCCCCUAGUAACGGCGAGUGAAGCGGGAAGAGCUCAAAUUUCGAAAUCUUAAAGGGUUUCCCUUUACGAAUUGUAGUUUAAAGAAGUGUUUUCUGUUGAGGUUUUGGUAAAAGUUCUUUGGAAUAGGACAUCAUAGAGGGUGAGAAUCCCGUAUUUGACCUUUACUUUCAACUUUGUGAUACACUUUCAAAGAGUCGGAUUGUUUGGGAAUGCAGUCCAAAAUGGGUGGUAAAUUUCAUCUAAAGCUAAAUAUUGGCGAGAGACCGAUAGCGAACAAGUACCGUGAGGGAAAGAUGAAAAGAACUUCGAAAAGAGAGUUAAACAGUACGUGAAAUUGUCAAAAGGGAAGCGUUUGACACCAGUGUUGUUUUUCUGAAAAUCAAUUAAAGAACUGUUUAUGCUAAGUUGUUUAGACUUUAUCAGCUAACUGUUUAGUUUUGAGCUUUUCUUUAAUGCACUUUUCAGUUAACAAGUCAACAUCAAUUUCUUUUGCUGUAAAAAAGCUUGAGGAAGGUGGCUUGAGAUUCGUCUUAAGUGUUUAUAGCCUCUUGCCUAUGCAGUCGGAGAGAUUGAGGUCUGCAGCGUAGAUCCUUCGGGGCUAAAUGCAUUUGUGCUAAGUUAUAGCAUUUUAUAGACAACUAGUUGACUAUGAUUUGUCUUGUAGCUUACUCGCUUAUGUUAUUUUACCUACGCUUAGGAUGUUGACGAGACUGUCGAUCUC